AUGAACGCUAGCGGCAGGCCUAACACAUGCAAGUCGAGGGGCAGCACAUGAAGUAUUUCGGUACUUUUGGUGGCGACCGGCGCACGGGUGCGUAACGCGUAUGCAACCUACCUUUAACAGGGGGAUAAUUCGGAGAAAUCUGGUCUAAUACCCUAUAACAAUUCUGAGGGCAUCCUCGGGAUUUAAAAGUUCCGGCGGUUAAAGAUGGGCAUGCGUGACAUUAGGUAGUUGGUAAGGUAACGGCUUACCAAGCCUACGAUGUCUAGGGGGACUGAGAGGUUAACCCCCCACACUGGUACUGAGACACGGACCAGACUCCUACGGGAGGCAGCAGUGAGGAAUAUUGGUCAAUGGACGCAAGUCUGAACCAGCCAUGCCGCGUGCAGGAAGACGGCUCUAUGAGUUGUAAACUGCUUUUGUACGAGGGUAAACCCGGUUACGUGUAACCGGCUGAAAGUACCGUACGAAUAAGGAUCGGCUAACUCCGUGCCAGCAGCCGCGGUAAUACGGAGGAUCCAAGCGUUAUCCGGAUUUAUUGGGUUUAAAGGGUGCGUAGGCGGUUUGUUAAGUUAGAGGUGAAAUCCCGUGGCUCAACCACGGAACUGCCUCUGAUACUGGCAGGCUAGAGAAUGGUUGCUGUGGGCGGAAUGUGUGGUGUAGCGUGAAAUGCUUAGAGAUCACACAGAACACCGAUUGCGAGGCAGCUCACAAAGCCAUAUCUGACGCUGAGGCACGA
RNAcentral lists this ribosomal RNA (736 nucleotides) under uncultured bacterium. RNAcentral describes it as "bacterial SSU rRNA". It matches the Rfam family "Bacterial small subunit ribosomal RNA", at positions 29 to 756 of the family's 1533-position model. The record is from RNAcentral.